GGCCUCAGAGAAGAGAAAGAGAAAGAGAAAGCAAGGGUAAAGGCAUAUGUAAUAGUAUAGAAUAGUGGACAUGAUAAUGAUGUACAGUACAGUGUUUAUGUAAUGUAUAGAAAUGAUGUAAUAACCAGUUAUGUAUUGAGUUAUAGAAUUGUGCUUGGCCCUAGUGUAUGUUUAUCCCUUUGCACAUGAUCAUUUUAUGAUUGAGAUAAUGUUGUUAUGAUGCGCUAGGCUUGGUGCAUGGUAGUCUUUCUAUCUCUGUAGUGACUGUAUGGUACCAUAGCAGGUAUCACUCUUCGAGUGCAUACAGACAGAGCAUGCAUAGUCCAGGCUUAGUUGAUGAGAAAAGUUUCAAGAAAAGAAAAGAUAGUCAAGCAAAGAAA
RNAcentral lists this long non-coding RNA (380 nucleotides) under Manihot esculenta (cassava). Its description in RNAcentral is "long non-coding RNA (MESC_LNC008980)". Lineage: Eukaryota; Viridiplantae; Streptophyta; Magnoliopsida; Malpighiales; Euphorbiaceae. The record is from RNAcentral.